RNAcentral lists this transfer RNA (71 nucleotides) under Microbacterium sp. NIBRBAC000506063. Its description in RNAcentral is "tRNA-Cys". It matches the Rfam family "tRNA". Rfam says of the family: Transfer RNA (tRNA) molecules are approximately 80 nucleotides in length. Their secondary structure includes four short double-helical elements and three loops (D, anti-codon, and T loops). Lineage: Bacteria; Bacillati; Actinomycetota; Actinomycetes; Micrococcales; Microbacteriaceae. The record is from RNAcentral.
GGUGCGUUGCCCGAGUGGUCAGGGAGCGGCCUGCAAAGCCGUGGACACGGGUUCGAAUCCCGUACGCACCU